UGAGGAACAUGACUUUCGGCGGGGGAUAGCCGGCCCAACGGCCGGGUAAUACCGCGUACGACCUUUUGGGGACAUCCCUGAUUGGUGAAAGCAGCAAUGCGCCGAAAGAGUGCCUCGCGGCCUAUCAGCUAGUUGGUGGGGUAAUGGCUCACCAAGGCGACGACGGGUAGCUGGUCUGAGAGGAUGGCCAGCCACAUUGGGACUGAGACACGGCCCAGACCUCCGUACGGGA
Molecule: ribosomal RNA, 232 nt
Filed under: uncultured bacterium
Lineage: Bacteria
Description: partial 16S ribosomal RNA
Rfam family: Bacterial small subunit ribosomal RNA
Source: RNAcentral